GCUGAACUUAAGCAUAUUAAUAAGCGGAGGAAAAGAAACUACCCAGGAUUCCCCUAGUAACGGCGAGUGAAGCGGGAUGAGCUCAAGCUUAAAAUCUCUGUGCCAGUUUGGCAUGGCGAAUUGUAGUCUAUAGAGGCGUUGUCAGUGCGGCUGUGCGGGGUAAGUUCCUUGGAAGAGGACAGCAUCGAGGGUGAUACUCCCGUUUGUACCUGUGCGGCUUGCGCGUACGACACGUUUUCUUCGAGUCGCGUUGUUUGGGACUGCAGCGCAAAGUAGGUGGUAAAUUCCAUCUAAAGCUAAAUAUUGGUGCGAGACCGAUAGCGAACAAGUACCGUGAGGGAAAGAUGAAAAGAACUUUGAAAAGAGAGUUAAAGAGUACCUGAAACUGCUGAAAGGGAAGCGAAUCGUAUCCAGUGUCUAUAAUCUGCGGCAUAUUUCAUUGGCGGCGGUGCGCGUGCUUUUGCGUCGGAAGCGGCUUUUGUUGCUCUGUGCUUUUGCUGUGCGUGCUGUUGCUGGUGAGGUAGGUCAGGACUUCGGUCUUGGCUGUUAUAUCUUGGUGGUUUGUUGUCGUGGUUGGGACUGAGGUGCCUACAAUGUGCUUUUGAGUGUGCCGGGUUCUCAUUUGGUGGACUGUUUGGAUAGCUUGCUAUGCUUGUGGUUUUUUCAUCGAGUGAUUGAGUCUGGUGGUAACUUAUUGCCGUUCGGGACUUUGACGAAAUGGAGCGAUUCGGCCCGUCUUGAAACACGGACCAAGGAGUCUAACAUGUGUGCAAGUGUUAGGGUGUGGAAACCCGAGCGCGUAAUGAAAGUAAAGGGUGGCUUUAGCUGCCUGAGGUAGGAAACCUUUGUUCUCAGAGGUGGCACUAUCGACCGAUCAAGAACCUUCGUGGUGAAAGAUUUGAGUAUGAG
Molecule: ribosomal RNA, 909 nt
Filed under: Pythium hydnosporum
Lineage: Eukaryota; Oomycota; Peronosporomycetes; Pythiales; Pythiaceae
Description: partial large subunit ribosomal RNA
Rfam family: Eukaryotic large subunit ribosomal RNA
Source: RNAcentral